UGAGGAAUAUUGCGCAAUGGGGGAAACCCUGACGCAGCGACGCCGCGUGGAUUAUGAAGGCCUUCGGGUCGUAAAAUCCUGUCAGAUGGAAAGAAAUGCAUAUUUAUUAAUACUGAAUAUGUUUGACGGUACCUUCAAAGGAAGCACCGGCUAACUCCGUGCCAGCAGCCGCGGUAAUACGGAGGGUGCAAGCGUUGUUCGGAAUCACUGGGCGUAAAGGGAGCGCAGGCUGUUUUGCAAGUCAGAUGUGAAAGCCCACGGCUUAACCGUGGAAGUGCAUUUGAAACUGCUUGGCUUGAGUAUCAGAGGGGAAAGUGGAAUUCCCGGUGUAGAGGUGAAAUUCGUAGAUAUCGGGAGGAAUACCGGUGGCGAAGGCGACUUUCUGGCUGAAUACUGACGCUGAGGCGCGAAAGCGUGGGGAGCAAACAGGAUUAGAUACCCUGGUAGUCCACGCCGUAAACGAUGUCAACUAGGUGCAGGGGGUGUUGAUCCCCUCUGUGUCGCAGCUAACGCAUUAAGUUGACCGCCUGGGGAGUACGGUCGCAAGAUUAAAACUCAAAUGAAUUGACGGAA
Molecule: ribosomal RNA, 573 nt
Filed under: uncultured bacterium
Lineage: Bacteria
Description: bacterial SSU rRNA
Rfam family: Bacterial small subunit ribosomal RNA
Source: RNAcentral